Bos taurus (domestic cattle) is the source of this 2913-nucleotide long non-coding RNA. The record is from Ensembl. Lineage: Eukaryota; Metazoa; Chordata; Mammalia; Artiodactyla; Bovidae.
AAACAAAGGCAUUGAAAAACAGUGGAAAAUCCAGAUUCCUCAUCAGUUUUAAAGCAGCCGUCCUGGAAGGAAUGCAUUUCCUAUCAUUCCCCAUGAUGUUAGCAGCUUCCAAUGAUCUGAGAGGAUCUUCCCGACCCAGGGAUCAAACCUGCAUCUCCUGCAUUGGCAGGUGGGUUCUUUACCACUAAGCCACCAGCGAGACCCCUUCGACUAUGAAGCUGUUCUGUCUCUGUCUUGACAUGAAACCUGGAACUUCUCUGCCAUCCUGGGCCCCUGGAGAGUCAGGCUUCAUCGGGCGUGAGCAUCCGGUAACAUAGCCAGAAACCAAGCCUUGGGAAAUUGCUCCAGUGCAGAGAUCUGAAAGAGGAGACAGAACCAACAAAACGCAGAGAAGGAUUGGUCAGAUGCUAGGACGAUAAAGAUAAUCAAGUUAGCCUCUGAGACCAAGGUAUCGGGGAACUGAAAAGAAGACAGACACGGACAGGCUGGGCCAGGGUGAAACAUCCCAGUAGAGACAGAUUUGAGCUAGACCUUGGAGGGAGCACUGGGAGACAAUCAUUGUUUUGAACUAGCGCUUCAAAGAGCUGUACUGGACGGAAUUCCUGAGAUGAUUCUGGGGUCAGCAAAACGAUGUUUCUGAACUAUUAAACACAUUCUCUUCUAAAAAAGUAACAUUCAUAUUGGCCACGCAAGUCAUUCAAAAACCAGCCUCAAUACAGCUAUUAUUCAGAUUCACCCUGUCAGUGUGAGAAUAUGGGUUGAAAUGGACUUUGCUACUUGAAAUUAAGUGUGAUCACACUCAGCAGCCUUAGGAAGCUCUCCAAUUCAGACCUCAAUUACAAGAGGAUUGGAGCCAUGGGGAGCUGGGAGCAGCAUUCAGAAAAAGAGAAGGGUUUCUUUCUCUACGAUUUUCCCUGUUUGCAGCCUGAAUCCCAAGUGAAUGCUAUUUCUCUUCCAUCACUCUUUUUGCCUGCUUUCGGCAUUUUCCUCUCACUUUUCCCUCACGGUUAUCCCUCCCUUAAAGAGAGGGUCUGGACUCUUGGGUGAGAGCCACAUGUGACUCUGCUGAGCAGUUGGAAUUAACUAAAACUUACUCUUUCCCAAUAAAUCUCCCCCAAGCCACCACACAGCAGCUGUGAAUUCCCAGCAUGGGAUGUGGCUGAGGAACUAGCAAAAGCUGUGUUCCUCAACCUUGUUCAUCCUCUGGCCCAAAGAAUCAGCAGACAUUGACGAUAAUGCAAAGAAAACUACAUAGCUCUCUAAACACAACUCUUUAUCCAACCCACCUUGAAGACACGCUAUUUCUUCUGGGUGUGUGUGGAGGCGGAGUGGUACUGAGGAUGGAAGGAGUACAGAGAGUUACAGCAAACGUAUAAAGCAUCUACCAGCUAAUGAUGCCUCAGUUCAGUCCAGUCGCUCAGUCGUGUCCCACUCUUUGCGACCCCAUGAACCGCAGCACGCCAGGCCUCCCUGUCCAUCACCAACUCCCGGAGUUCACUCAAACUCACGUCCAUCAAGUCAGUGACGCCAUCCAGCCAUCUCAUCCUCUGUCGUCCCCUUCUCCUCCUGCCCUCAAUCUUUCCCAGCAUCAGAGUCUUUACUCUGCCAAAAUUGUGUUUAUUUGUUAAAAAUAUACUUCAUUGUAUUAUAGCAAAACUAAACCCCUCCCCAGUCCCUACCGAGACAGAAUGAUUGGGUUUCAGGGUGAGGUGCCAGCUAGUGUUUUGGGGGGUAUUAAUGUGCCAGCUGCUCCUGCAGUAUUCAUUUUAUUUCCAGUCCCCAGGCUGGUUUUACACGUUUUUUGUGUAAGGGAAUCAGGAUUAGGGAGUCUUUUGUUAGUGAGGGGGUGAGAGCGAGCAGCAUCACCUUUGAGCUCCGUACGCAGGGACAGCCUAGCAGGCAAGGCUCGAAGCUUUGAUUUACUUCUUGCUCUCUGACUUUUUCACAAAAAGAAAAGAUCUAUCACAUGGGGCUGCUCUGCUGGAAGCUUGUAUGGCAGUGGAUUGGGGUGACUGUUGCUUCCAAAUGCAGUUCACAGCCACCAAGCCAGGGUCACAUUGGAACUCUGUGCAGAUACAACGCUCCCAACCUGCUAAGAAGAAACGCUCCUAUAGGAAGAAAUGCUUCUUUAUUGCAUGGUGAAAGGCGCUAUUGGGUGGUCCUUGCCUGAGAGCUGAAAGAGCAUAUGGAUUCCCACUUGCUUCUCUGAAGGAGCUAACAUUAUUUUUACCCACUUGGAAACGCCGAGCUGCUACCCGCGUUCAGAGUCCCCCCUCACUGGCCAGCUUGUCCAAGUGCAGUGACCUGCUUGAACAAUGCCAGUGAGCUUCUCCUCCACUGAGCAAAUCGCACAGCCUCCUAAAGAAAGAGAGGCCUCUUUUAUGAAGCAACUCCUCUUAAGAUGGGAUUGUGAAACAGAUACACACAUGCACACGUCACACGACAUCGUUUUUUUGUGUGUGUGUGUGUUUGGUUGUUUUUAAGACUGGGGACAAAAUUACUAAGCAAAAUUUCCCAAUGAACACUUCUCUUAUUUUUAAGGACAGAGAAAGGCAAAGUGAAAAAGUAGCCUCGCUUAUCCUCCUUCCCUUCCCCCUCACAGCCCAGACUCAAAACACUCAUUCUGAGGAUGGAGCAGAGGUGGCAAAGGUCAAGAAAAUGGGGCCUUGUCUAUUUACCGGCUCUGUAAGGAACUAUUGUGGCGCAGCAGCUGUUCUUCUUGCUCCUUCGGAAGCCUGCCUGCAGUGGAUGCGGGGGAGGGAGGCUGUGACACUGGCAGGCAGGGCGUGUGGGGAGUAACAGCUAAUAUUUUCUGCACCUCAAGAAAGAUGGGCUUUGUUUCUUAAAAAGAGCAGAGAUACUGUUUCUGGGUAGCUGUUAUCAGAAACUGGUUUUAACCAAACACAGUUGGAU